GUACAUCGGUAUCGGAAUAUGAAGGUUGUAACAUAUCAACUUAGAGACUUAGCUUGAAGGUAAUGAACUAAUGAUAUCCAAUAUUUGUUUGUUCACAAUAUUUUGUGCAUUUUGUCUCACAAAAUAGCUUUCAAAAUCUCGUACAACACACAUGAGAUUAUGUAUGUGCAUGAAGACAAAAGGUUGAUGAUGAAAGAUGUGAAUUUUGAAAGGGUAAAAUGCACAAAAUAUAGUAAACAAGGAAUGGUUGUAGAUGAGUCUUUAAGUUGAUAUGUUAUGCCCCUCAUAUGCAUGAUAUUAUCAUGGACUCCAUUAGCCUCCAAUGAGCUUUUGAAUUGGUAAUUUUUUUCUUUUGUUGAUAAUCUUUUGUAUUAGUAAUUUGGUUCAAGGGAAGGUGACUCUGGUAAUUAAUAAAUUUACUAUGUGGUAAGUUAAAUCUGACUAAAAAUUGUUGCUAUCAAAAAUUAAGCUCGAAUUUUCCUGAACGAUUUAUCCUAAAGAUCGGUCAUCAAUAGCUUUU
Molecule: long non-coding RNA, 520 nt
Filed under: Trifolium pratense (red clover)
Lineage: Eukaryota; Viridiplantae; Streptophyta; Magnoliopsida; Fabales; Fabaceae
Description: long non-coding RNA (TPRA_LNC010172)
Source: RNAcentral